UGGGGAAUAUUGGACAAAUGGGGGCAACCCUGAUCCAGCCAUGCCGCGUGAGUGAUGAAGGCCUUCGGGUUGUAAAGCUCUUUUGGCGGGGGUACGAUGAUGACGGUACCCGCAGAAUAAGCCCCGGCUAACUUCGUGCCAGCAGCCGCGGUAAGACNAAGGGGGCUAGCGUUGUUCGGAAUUACUGGGCGUAAAGCGAGUGUAGGCGGUUUGCCGUAGUCAGGUNUGAAAGCCUUGAGCUCAACUCAAGAAAUGCACUUGAUACUGGGUGACUAGAGGACCGGAGAGGAUAGUGGAAUUCCCAGUGUAGUGGUGAAAUACGUAGAGAUUGGGAAGAACACCAGUGGCGAAGGCGGCUAUCUGACGGUUACUGACGCUAAGACUCGAAAGCGUGGGGNGCAAACAGGAUUAGAUACCCCUGGUAGUCCACGCCGUAAACGAUGGGUGCUAGACGUUGGCGAGCUUGCUCGUCAGUGUCGCAGCUAACGCGUUAAGCA
This 497-nucleotide ribosomal RNA is filed under the name uncultured bacterium. RNAcentral's name for it is "partial 16S ribosomal RNA". It matches the Rfam family "Bacterial small subunit ribosomal RNA", at positions 355 to 866 of the family's 1533-position model. The record is from RNAcentral.